Molecule: non-coding RNA, 1182 nt
Organism: Rattus norvegicus (Norway rat)
Lineage: Eukaryota; Metazoa; Chordata; Mammalia; Rodentia; Muridae
Source: RefSeq, a predicted model, not a curated record
AUAUAAAAAGAUUUUAUGAAAGGCAAAGUGGGGGGGGGAGGCCACAGUAAUUCUCACCCUAUUAUAUUCCUUUCAAUUAUUUACAGGAGUAGACACUGGUGCUGAUCCUAUAUAGAGCCUGGAAUCCAGUGAGGUCACACGGGCAUUCUGGAAGCUAAGGAGGCCAUGUGGAAUCUGGGACACAAUGAGGCAAUGAUUCAGCUGCCCCUGCAUUCCACACCUCCCAGGGUCCCCUCUCUGUUCCCCUCCCUUAGCACCCAAGUCAAGACAGACCCCAUGGUUACAAUUAGCUCCAUCCCUGCUCAGGAGAUGUGAACAUUUUCCUUCCGUCAAUGGUUUUAAUAAUAUGGUCACCUUACUCUCCUAACUGAACCCAGUAGGGAAAUGAAAGCUGGGAAUCCAAAGGUCAUAGUAGGUAACACCAAGGAAUGUCACGGCCAGGUCACGUGGUUGUCAUUUGACUGCUGGGAAAAAUUAAGCCAAAGUGUGAUACUCUUUCAGUAUGUUAGAAACAAUGACGAUCCCCAUGGUUGCAGCCUGGCAACACUGGCAGGGCAGCUUCAGGAACCAGGUGACUCUGAUGGGAAUGUAGGACUUCCUUCAAGUCCGGCAUUGGAUGGCAUUUUAUCAUUCCAGUCAUGAAGGCAGAAAAUCAGCAACAGAAUAGUGCUGUCUGUUCCAUUCAGUUUUCCUCAUCUAAGCACCGACUCAGAUUCAUCAAGCCCAGGGACUGCUGUGCAGAAGACUUUCUGCCAUGCAGCCUAUCAACGAGUUUGUCUUCCUCAAUGAUGUGGUUUGCCCUGGAGUUAUCUGUAUUUUGAUGCUAAUUUCACUGCCCCAAGGACAGCUGCCUAGUCACAUACUCAGGAAUCAGGUGACUUCACCAGAAACUUCUCCCCAUUGAAUUUGUAAAAUACAGGUGAGGGGCAGGCACAGGAUAUAAGGAGGCCUGUCAUUGGAGGAGAAGGAAGGAUGGGCGGGAGAGAAGUUUGAAGGAAGAGGAGGAGACUGGAACGGAAAGGAGGAGAGGAGAGGGAGAGAAGCCGUGGCAGGACAAUAUGGCGGGUGACUUUAAGAUUCCACGCUGUACCUUUACGGGUUGUUACAAAUGUUCUUAAGGGAUGGAUGGUACUGGGCUUUGUACGUUUAGGUGGGCAAUUAUAUCUUACCAAUUGGGUCAAA